Molecule: long non-coding RNA, 1064 nt
Organism: Parasteatoda tepidariorum (common house spider)
Lineage: Eukaryota; Metazoa; Arthropoda; Arachnida; Araneae; Theridiidae
Source: RefSeq, a predicted model, not a curated record
UUUUAUAUAAUUGACAUUACUUUUCCAAAAAUAACAAAUCUUAUUAUCUUUUUAAAUACUCUUUAUUCAUUGUAGCAUACUGAUGUGAUGAAAAACAAAACUUCAAAAAGAUAAUUUUUGUUUUAGUUUAAAAAAGUAUAUUUCCAAAUCGAGCGUACUUGGUACCGAUAAAAACAGCUUCGUUUGUCAACGAUCAUAGACAUGGUUUACAGUAUAUUGGGUUCAAGCGUUAGGACAGAUACUAUUUGAUGGAACUAACCUGCACUUGCGUUACAAUAGAGGAAAACCAAAAGAACCUCUCACGGUCAGCCCGACUAUAAGGGGAUGCUAUCCUAUGAUCCAUCAGAGGAUAUUUUACGUCAUCACUGUGGUCAGUCAGAGAUGGUUGUGAAUCAGCCAGCCUUCGUUGAGAUUCGAAUCUCUCUCACUUUUCUCCAUACCCUGAGAAAUCACAGCUUAUGUACAGCCUUUAUUAUGAAUAUUAUUUGUUAUGAAUAGUAUGGAUACACGAGUUCACGUCCUUUUGUGUAGAAGAACUAUGAAGGAAAUGAUGAUGAAAGAGCUCUCGUACUGUAUCUAUGAUAUGUAACAGCCAUGGAGAAGUAUGCAAGAGAUUUUCCAUUCUAUCGCUGGAGGACUUAAAAAAAGUGAUGCAGUUUUGUUUCAAAGCAUGGCAAAAUGUUAAUCCUUUGAGACCAAAUGAAAACAGCACCCCACUGAAUCAGUAGGUGUAACAAUUUGUUACUUAACUAUUUGUUAACUAUUGAGAUAAGAGACUUCAGAUAAUUAAUAUAUAGAUGUUAUUGGUUUGACGUUACAUGAAUUUACACAAGCCAGCCUCAAUAAUUUUAAUAAAAAGUAAUAAAAAAAGUUUUAACUUUAGAAGUAUAAAUAUAAAUGUAACAUUGACAAAAAUACACAGAAAUUAACAUGGGCAGAAUAGGUGCAUUUACUAUGUUGUAGGUACAAUAACUAUUGUUGAAACACUGUUGCUGCUCAAAGGCUCUGAUUUUAUUAGAGCUAGUAUUAGUCUGAGUAGGUACUGAGGGUGUACAGUAUUGGUU